This 371-nucleotide ribosomal RNA is filed under the name Gephyrocapsa sp. RNAcentral describes it as "partial small subunit ribosomal RNA". It matches the Rfam family "Eukaryotic small subunit ribosomal RNA", at positions 582 to 975 of the family's 1831-position model. The record is from RNAcentral. Lineage: Eukaryota; Haptophyta; Isochrysidales; Noelaerhabdaceae.
AUUCCAGCUCCAAUAGCGUAUAUUAAAGUUGUUGCAGUUAAGACGCUCGUAGUCGGAUUUCGGGGCGGGCCGACCGGUCUGCCGAUGGGUAUGCACUGGCCGGAGACCGCGCCUACUCUUAACUGAGCGGGCGCGGGAGACGGGUCUUUUACUUUGAAAAAAUCAGAGUGUUUCAAGCAGGCAGUCGCUCUUGCAUGGAUUAGCAUGGGAUAAUGAAAUAGGACUCUGGUGCUAUUUUGUUGGUUUCGAACACCGGAGUAAUGAUUAACAGGGACAGUCAGGGGCACUCGUAUUCCGCCGAGAGAGGUGAAAUUCUCAGACCAGCGGAAGACGAACCACUGCGAAAGCAUUUGCCAGGGAUGUUUUCAUCA